GAUGAACGCUAGCUACAGGCUUAACACAUGCAAGUCGAGGGGCAGCAUGGUCUUAGCUUGCUAAGGCUGAUGGCGACCGGCGCACGGGUGAGUAACACGUAUCCAACCUGCCGUCUACUCUUGGCCAGCCUUCUGAAAGGAAGAUUAAUCCAGGAUGGGAUCAUGAGUUCACAUGUCCGCAUGAUUAAAGGUAUUUUCCGGUAGACGAUGGGGAUGCGUUCCAUUAGAUAGUAGGCGGGGUAACGGCCCACCUAGUCAACGAUGGAUAGGGGUUCUGAGAGGAAGGUCCCCCACAUUGGAACUGAGACACGGUCCAAACUCCUACGGGAGGCAGCAGUGAGGAAUAUUGGUCAAUGGGCGAUGGCCUGAACCAGCCAAGUAGCGUGAAGGAUGACUGCCCUAUGGGUUGUAAACUUCUUUUAUAAAGGAAUAAAGUCGGGUAUGCAUACCCGUUUGCAUGUACUUUAUGAAUAAGGAUCGGCUAACUCCGUGCCAGCAGCCGCGGUAAUACGGAGGAUCCGAGCGUUAUCCGGAUUUAUUGGGUUUAAAGGGAGCGUAGAUGGAUGUUUAAGUCAGUUGUGAAAGUUUGCGGCUCAACCGUAAAAUUGCAGUUGAUACUGGAUGUCUUGAGUGCAGUUGAGGCAGGCGGAAUUCGUGGUGUAGCGGUGAAAUGCUUAGAUAUCACGAAGAACUCCGAUUGCGAAGGCAGCCUGCUAAGCUGCAACUGACAUUGAGGCUCGAAAGUGUGGGUAUCAAACAGGAUUAGAUA
This 769-nucleotide ribosomal RNA is filed under the name uncultured Bacteroidales bacterium. RNAcentral's name for it is "bacterial SSU rRNA". It matches the Rfam family "Bacterial small subunit ribosomal RNA", at positions 28 to 784 of the family's 1533-position model. Lineage: Bacteria; Pseudomonadati; Bacteroidota; Bacteroidia; Bacteroidales. The record is from RNAcentral.